This 122-nucleotide ribosomal RNA is filed under the name Betta splendens (Siamese fighting fish). The record is from RNAcentral. Lineage: Eukaryota; Metazoa; Chordata; Actinopteri; Anabantiformes; Osphronemidae.
GCUUACGGUCCAUACCACCCUGAGCCACGCCCAAUCCUCGUCUGAUCUCGGAAGCUAAGCAGGGUCGGGCCUGGUUUAGUACUUGGAUGGGAGACCGCCUGGAAUACCAGGUGCUGUAAGCG